Molecule: non-coding RNA, 258 nt
Organism: Agelaius phoeniceus (red-winged blackbird)
Lineage: Eukaryota; Metazoa; Chordata; Aves; Passeriformes; Icteridae
Source: RefSeq, a predicted model, not a curated record
CCGGCUCAGAGGCAGAGAGCCCCCACCAUCCUCACCUGCGAGGCUGCGUCCAUCUCCACCAGGUCUGUGAUGGGCUCACUGUCAGGGACACAAAGAUGCCAGCUCAGGGUCAUCCUCUCCCCAGGCUCCCACAUCACCAAGUGCUUCCUUGGCACCUGCUCCAAUGAACAUCCUGCUGCCAAGGGAAGGAACCGCCUGGCUCAGCACUGCCAGAAGCAGCUCAUUACUGAUAUAAACCAAUUAAAGUCGUGAGAUUAA